GGCUGGACUCCUGCUGCAGACAGGGAGCAGAGCACCGCACCUUGAAAUACGGAGAAAAACCUGAAAACGCUAAGAGGUGGAGUGACAACUUGCAUUCAGCUGUUUCAGAAACAUUGUUGACCACCUACUCAAUGUGAAGAUGACAAAGAUGAAAGCCUUUAUGAUGAUCUACUUCCACUUAAUAAAUGGACUAUUUUUCUUUCCUGCCCCAUACCAAUAAGAAACAAGGAUGCAACAACAACAAUGACAACAGACCUAAGUGGAAUCUUGGAAGCAUGCUUGCAAAGCUCAUCCCUCCCCCUGCAUAAGCUAGCUAAGACAAGGCACGGGGUAGGAGGAAAAGAGACAAGAUUGUGACUCAAAAGUGUAGACGGAGGAUUCACCAGAAGGACAGACCCAGGAAGGUGGGAUCCUCACCAUGCUUGAAAAAGAACAUCCAUCUCAAGGGAAACCAGCUGCCAUGCAUGAGGAUACUCCAGCAGCUUAUGGAGAAGUCCAUGUGGUGAGGAACUGGGGUCAGUCCACAACCACCUGAGUGAACCUGAAAGUGGAUCUUCCCCUCACUCAAGCAUUGAGUUGACUGCUGGCCCAACCAACAGUUUGUCUGCAACUUCAUGAUAGACCCUGACUCAGAAGCACUCAAUUAACUCAUG
Long non-coding RNA from Gorilla gorilla gorilla (western lowland gorilla), 653 nucleotides. RefSeq lists it as uncharacterized. Lineage: Eukaryota; Metazoa; Chordata; Mammalia; Primates; Hominidae. The transcript is spliced from 4 exons. The record is from RefSeq and is a predicted model, not a curated record.